RNAcentral lists this ribosomal RNA (1367 nucleotides) under Rhodococcus sp. D11-33.1. RNAcentral describes it as "bacterial SSU rRNA". It matches the Rfam family "Bacterial small subunit ribosomal RNA". The record is from RNAcentral. Lineage: Bacteria; Bacillati; Actinomycetota; Actinomycetes; Mycobacteriales; Nocardiaceae.
AGUCGAACGAUGAAGCCCAGAUUGCUGGGUGGAUUAGUGGCGAACGGGUGAGUAACACGUGGGUGAUCUGCCCUGCACUUCGGGAUAAGCCUGGGAAACUGGGUCUAAUACCGGAUACGACCAAAGGCUGCAUGGUUUUUGGUGGAAAGGUUUACCGGUGCAGGAUGAGCCCGCGGCCUAUCAGCUUGUUGGUGGGGUAAUGGCCUACCAAGGCGACGACGGGUAGCCGGCCUGAGAGGGCGACCGGCCACACUGGGACUGAGACACGGCCCAUACUCCUACGGGAGGCAGCAGUGGGGAAUAUUGCACAAUGGGCGAAAGCCUGAUGCAGCGACGCCGCGUGAGGGAUGACGGCCUUCGGGUUGUAAACCUCUUUCAGCAGGGACGAAGCGCAAGUGACGGUACCUGCAGAAGAAGCACCGGCCAACUACGUGCCACCAGCCGCGGUAAUACGUACGGUGCGAGCGUUGUCCGGAAUUACUGGGCGUAAAGAGCUCAUAGGCGGUUUGUCGCGUCCUCUGUGAAAACCCGCAGCUCAACUGCGGGCUUGCAGGCGAUACGGGCAKACUUGAGUACUGCAGGGGAGACUGGAAUUCCUGGUGUAGCGGUGAAAUGCGCAGAUAUCAGGAGGAACACCGGUGGCGAAGGCGGGUCUCUGGGCAGUAACUGACGCUGAGGAGCGAAAGCGUGGGUAGCGAACAGGAUUAGAUACCCUGGUAGUCCACGCCGUAAACGGUGGGCGCUAGGUGUGGGUUUCCUUCCACGGGAUCCGUGCCGUAGCUAACGCAUUAAGCGCCCCGCCUGGGGAGUACGGCCGCAAGGCUAAAACUCAAAGGAAUUGACGGGGGCCCGCACAAGCGGCGGAGCAUGUGGAUUAAUUCGAUGCAACGCGAAGAACCUUACCUGGGUUUGACAUAUACCGGACCGCCGUAGAGAUACGGUUUCCCUUGUGGUCGGUAUACAGGUGGUGCAUGGCUGUCGUCAGCUCGUGUCGUGAGAUGUUGGGUUAAGUCCCGCAACGAGCGCAACCCUUGUCCUGUGUUGCCAGCACGUAAUGGUGGGGACUCGCAGGAGACUGCCGGGGUCAACUCGGAGGAAGGUGGGGACGACGUCAAGUCAUCAUGCCCCUUAUGUCCAGGGCUUCACACAUGCUACAAUGGCCGGUACAGAGGGCUGCGAUACCGUGAGGUGGAGCGAAUCCCUUAAAGCCGGUCUCAGUUCGGAUCGGGGUCUGCAACUCGACCCCGUGAAGUCGGAGUCGCUAGUAAUCGCAGAUCAGCAACGCUGCGGUGAAUACGUUCCCGGGCCUUGUACACACCGCCCGUCACGUCAUGAAAGUCGGUAACACCCGAAGCCGGGUCCAACCC